UUAGUGGCGGACUGGUGAGUAACACGUAAGCAAUCUACCUAUUAGAGGGGAAUAACAAUGAGAAAUCAUUGCUAAUACCGCAUAAGCUUGUAGUACCGCAUGGUACAGCAAGAAAAGGAGCAAUCCGCUAAUAGAUGAGCUUGCGGCUGAUUAGCUAGUUGGUGUGGUAACGGCAUACCAAGGCAACGAUCAGUAGCCGGGCUGAGAGGCUCUUCGGCCACAUUGGGACUGAGAUACGGCCCAGACUCCUACGGGAGGCAGCAGUCGGGAAUUUUGCGCAAUGGAGGAAACUCUGACGCAGUGACGCCGCGUAUAGGAAGAAGGUUUUCGGAUUGUAAACUCCUGUCGUUAGGGACGAUAAUGACGGUACCUAACAAGAAAGCACCGGCUAACUACGUGCCAGCAGCCGCGGUAAAACGUAGGGUGCAAGCGUUGUCCGGAAUUACUGGGUGUAAAGGGAGCGCAGGCGGGAAGACAAGUUGGAAGUGAAAACCAUGGGCUCAACCCAUGAAUUGCUUUCAAAACUGUUUUUCUUGAGUAGUGCAGAGGUAGAUGGAAUUCCCGGUGUAGCGGUGGAAUGCGUAGAUAUCGGGAGGAACACCAGUGGCGAAGGCGGUCUACUGGGCACCAACUGACGCUGAGGCUCGAAAGCAUGGGUAGCAAACAGGAUUAGAUACCCUGGUAGUCCAUGCCGUAAACGAUGAUUACUAGGUGUUGGGGGAUUGACCCCCUCAGUGGCGCAGUUAACACAAUAAGUAGUCCACCUGGGGAGUACGUUCGCAAGAAUGAAACUCAAAGGAAUUGACGGGGACCCGCACAAGCGGUGGAGCAUGUGGUUUAAUUCGAAGCAACGCGAAGAACCUUACCUGCUCUUGACAUCUCCCUGACCGGCAAGUAAUGUUGCCUUUCCUUCGGGACAGGGAUGACAGGUGGUGCAUGGUUGUCGUCAGCUCGUGUCGCGAGAUGUUGGGUUAAGUCCCGCAACGAGCGCAACCCCUAUCUUUAGUAGCCAGCGGUCAGGCCGGGCACUCUAGAGAGACUGCCAGGGAUAACCUGGAGGAAGGUGGGGAUGACGUCAAAUCAUCAUGCCCCUUACGAGCAGGGCUACGCAUGUGCUACAAUGGCGUAAACAAAGGGAGGCAGAACCGCGAGGUCGAGCAAAUCCCAAAAAUAACGUCUCAGUUCGGAUUGUAGUCUGCAACUCGACUACAUGAAACUGGAAUCGCUAGUAAUCGCGAAUCAGAAUGUCGCGGUGAAUACGUUCCCGGGUCUUGCACACACCGCCCGUCA
RNAcentral lists this ribosomal RNA (1290 nucleotides) under uncultured bacterium. RNAcentral's name for it is "bacterial SSU rRNA". It matches the Rfam family "Bacterial small subunit ribosomal RNA", at positions 92 to 1399 of the family's 1533-position model. The record is from RNAcentral.